RNAcentral lists this ribosomal RNA (456 nucleotides) under uncultured bacterium. RNAcentral's name for it is "bacterial SSU rRNA". It matches the Rfam family "Bacterial small subunit ribosomal RNA", at positions 40 to 507 of the family's 1533-position model. The record is from RNAcentral.
CGGCGUGCUUAACACAUGCAAGUCGAACGAAGAUGCCGGAGUUGCUUGCACUUGGCAGACUGAGUGGCGGACGGGUGAGUAACGCGUGGGUAACCUGCCUUAUACAGGGGGAUAACAGUUGGAACGACUGCUAAUACCGCAUAAGCGCACGGUAUCGCAUGAUACAGUGUGAAAAACUCCGGUGGUAUAAGAUGGACCCGCGUCUGAUUAGCUUGUUGGUGGUGUAAUGGACUACCAAGGCGACGAUCAGUAGCUGGUUUGAGAGGAUGAUCAGCCACAAUGGGACUGAGACACGGCCCAUACUCCUACGGGAGGCAGCAGUGGGGAAUAUUGCACAAUGGGGGAAACCCUGAUGCAGCGACGCCGCGUGAGCGAAGAAGUAUUUCGGUAUGUAAAGCUCUAUCAGCAGGGAAGAAAAUGACGGUACCUGACUAAGAAGCCCCGGCUAACUGCGUG